AGGAGCGUAGCUCAGGUGGCUAGAGCACUUCCUUGACACGGAAGGGGUCAGCAGUUCAAGUCUGCUCGUUCCUACCA
This 77-nucleotide transfer RNA is filed under the name Desulfovibrio desulfuricans. Its description in RNAcentral is "tRNA_Val_GAC". It matches the Rfam family "tRNA". Rfam says of the family: Transfer RNA (tRNA) molecules are approximately 80 nucleotides in length. Their secondary structure includes four short double-helical elements and three loops (D, anti-codon, and T loops). Further hydrogen bonds mediate the characteristic L-shaped molecular structure. tRNAs have two regions of fundamental functional importance: the anti-codon, which is responsible for specific mRNA codon recognition, and the 3' end, to which the tRNAs corresponding amino acid is attached (by aminoacyl-tRNA synthetases). tRNAs cope with the degeneracy of the genetic code in two manners: having more than one tRNA (with a specific anti-codon) for a particular amino acid; and 'wobble' base-pairing, i.e. permitting non-standard base-pairing at the 3rd anti-codon position. RNAcentral also lists the same sequence under 27 other names. The record is from RNAcentral. Lineage: Bacteria; Pseudomonadati; Thermodesulfobacteriota; Desulfovibrionia; Desulfovibrionales; Desulfovibrionaceae.